UACGUAGGGGGGCGAGCGUUGUCCGGAUUUACUGGGCGUAAAGCGCGUGUAGGCGGCGGCUUAAGUCGGGUGUGAAAGCCCGGGGCUCAACCCCGGGAUGCCGCUCGAGACUGGGUCGCUUGAGGACGGAAGAGGGGCGUGGAAUUCCUGGUGUAGCGGUGAAAUGCGUAGAGAUCAGGAGGAACACCCCGUGGCGAAGGCGGCGCCCUGGUCCGUUACUGACGCUGAGACGCGAAA
Molecule: ribosomal RNA, 237 nt
Filed under: uncultured bacterium
Lineage: Bacteria
Description: partial 16S ribosomal RNA
Rfam family: Bacterial small subunit ribosomal RNA
Source: RNAcentral